CGCGUAGGCGGUUAUGCUAGUCAGGUGUGAAAUCCCAGGCUUAACUUGGGAACUGCGCUUGAAACUGCAUAGCUUGAGGCCGGGAGAGGAAAGUGGAAUUCCUGGUGUAGCGGUGAAAUGCGUAGAUAUCAGGAGGAACACCGGUGGCGAAGGCGGCUUUCUGGACCGGUUCUGACGCUGAAGCGCGAAAGCGUGGGGAGCAAACG
Molecule: ribosomal RNA, 206 nt
Filed under: uncultured bacterium
Lineage: Bacteria
Description: partial 16S ribosomal RNA
Rfam family: Bacterial small subunit ribosomal RNA
Source: RNAcentral